AAACUCCAACCAAUGCAAGCCUUUGAAUAUUGGGUUUGAAGAAAUCAAUUAUUGUUCUUAGGUUGCAAACAAGAGAUCUAGCUACUUUGGUCAUCAGAUCUGAAUGGAUAUAGCUGUCAAAUUGUUGCAACUUAUGUUAUCGACAAAUUGAAAAUAGGGUUAUAUCAGUUGAGAUUCAAAACUUUGACCCCUUUUUAGCUACCACGAAUAAAACUAGGGCUGUUUUUUUUUUCUUUCUUCUUAUUAAAUAUAAGUUAUCAUACUUAUAGUUAUUGGUAAUUAGCCUGGCUUCAAUGCUUUUUUUUUUUUUUUAACUUUUUCUAUUGAGAGAUGCAAUAACAUACUAAACUCACACUACAUAUAUGUUAGGACUUAAAUACAAGACCUUUUCUGAGGAGAGCAUUU
This 405-nucleotide long non-coding RNA is filed under the name Prunus persica (peach). Its description in RNAcentral is "long non-coding RNA (PPER_LNC001473)". Lineage: Eukaryota; Viridiplantae; Streptophyta; Magnoliopsida; Rosales; Rosaceae. The record is from RNAcentral.